This 295-nucleotide long non-coding RNA is filed under the name Elaeis guineensis (African oil palm). Its description in RNAcentral is "long non-coding RNA (EGUI_LNC079566)". The record is from RNAcentral. Lineage: Eukaryota; Viridiplantae; Streptophyta; Magnoliopsida; Arecales; Arecaceae.
UCAAAGGACCAAUCUGAGCAAAUCAAGAUCGGGCUAUCAAGCAAACAGCCAACAGCCAAGAGGAAAGAUUGAAAUUGAAGUGAAGCUCAAUGAAGCUUGAGGUUGAUCUGAGAAAGCCAACUAAAGGCAAACUAGCUAAGAUGGGGUAAUAUGAUUUUAAUUAUCUAUUUUCUUUACUCCAAAGCUAAAAAUUUGGAAGGCCCAACCAGAGCCAGUCCAAGCAGUUCUCUCAUCUUUUAUGUACAGAUCUAUAACUUAAAAUCUUGAUGAUUAAGAAGCAAGGGCUAACCUACAA